AACGAACGCUGGCGGCAGGCUUAACACAUGCAAGUCGAACGGAUCCUUCGGGAUCAGUGGCGGACGGGUGAGUAACGCGUGGGAACCUACCCUGGGGGUGGGGAAUAACCUUGGGAAACCGAGGCUAAUACCGCAUACGCCCUAUUGGGGAAAGACUAUGUUGCCCUGGGAUGGGCCCGCGUCCGAUUAGCUAGUUGGUGGGGGUAAUGGCCUACCAAGGCUGCGAUCGGUAGCUGGUCUGAGAGGAUGAUCAGCCACACUGGGACUGAGACACGGCCCAGACUCCUACGGGAGGCAGCAGUGGGAAUAUUGGACAAUGGGGGGCAACCCUGAUCCAGCCAUGCCGC
This 347-nucleotide ribosomal RNA is filed under the name uncultured bacterium. Its description in RNAcentral is "bacterial SSU rRNA". It matches the Rfam family "Bacterial small subunit ribosomal RNA", at positions 29 to 400 of the family's 1533-position model. The record is from RNAcentral.